RNAcentral lists this RNase P RNA (388 nucleotides) under Fidelibacterota bacterium. RNAcentral describes it as "RNase P RNA component class A". It matches the Rfam family "Bacterial RNase P class A". Rfam says of the family: Ribonuclease P (RNase P) is a ubiquitous endoribonuclease, found in archaea, bacteria and eukarya as well as chloroplasts and mitochondria. Its best characterised activity is the generation of mature 5'-ends of tRNAs by cleaving the 5'-leader elements of precursor-tRNAs. Cellular RNase Ps are ribonucleoproteins. The record is from RNAcentral. Lineage: Bacteria; Pseudomonadati; Fidelibacterota.
GAAGUUGGUCAGACAGCCGCUCCGAUUUUAUCGGAGAGGAAAGUCCGAACUCCGCAGGGCAGGGUGUCCCGUAAUCCGGGAUCAUUCCGAAUGAUCGGAAUGCAGGAAAGUGCCACAGAAAAUAUACCGUCCCGCCCCGGCGGGAUAAGGGUGAAAAGGUGCGGCCCGACUGAGGUCGGGAUUAAAGUAAGAGCGCACCGUCCCGUCUGCAAAGGCGGGAGCCAGGCAAACCCCACCCGGAGCAAGAGCAAGCAGGGAAAAGGAAUAGCCCGUUCCGUUUGAUUCCCGGGUAGCUCGCUUAAUCCCGACUGAAAAGUCGUGGAUAGAUAAAUGGCUGUCGUCUCGAUUCGUCGGGAUACAGAAUUCGGCUUAUAGACCAACUUCAGAA